RNAcentral lists this long non-coding RNA (263 nucleotides) under Mytilus galloprovincialis (Mediterranean mussel). The record is from RNAcentral. Lineage: Eukaryota; Metazoa; Mollusca; Bivalvia; Mytilida; Mytilidae.
CAGUGGGUAAAGAUUAUUUAUUGUGACAUUGUAAUAAAAUUUGAUUAAUAACAAAACUUGUGUCAAUAAAUUUCAGCAGAUGUAGAAAUUUAUAUGACAAAGAAAUUGGGGAAAUUGGAAAGAUUGUUGCACAAUAAUGACCCAUUGAUAUAUUUCCUUGGUUAAAUUGCACAAUAUUGAUAUAUUUGAUAAAUAUAAAAAGGGACCAAUUCAGACAGCACAUAUGUAUAUACCUUCAUAUAGAAAGAGACUCCUUGUGACAC